RNAcentral lists this ribosomal RNA (484 nucleotides) under uncultured bacterium. Its description in RNAcentral is "partial 16S ribosomal RNA". It matches the Rfam family "Bacterial small subunit ribosomal RNA", at positions 29 to 507 of the family's 1533-position model. The record is from RNAcentral.
AUUGAACGCUGGCGGCAUGCUUUACACAUGCAAGUCGAACGGCAGCGCGGGCUUCGGCUUGGCGGCGAGUGGCGAACGGGUGAGUAAUACAUCGGAACGUGCCCAGUAGUGGGGGAUAGCCCGGCGAAAGACGGAUUAAUACCGCAUCCGAUCUGAGGGUGAAAGCGGGGGAUCUUCGGACCUCGCGCUAUUGGAGCGGCCGAUGGCAGAUUAGCCAGUGGGUGGGGUAAAGGCCUACCAAGGCGACGAUCUGUAGCUGGUCUGAGAGGACGACCAGCCACACUGGGACUGAGACACGGCCCAGACUCCUACGGGAGGCAGCAGUGGGGAAUGUUGGACAAUGGGCGAAAGCCUGAUCCAGCAAUGCCGCGUGUGUGAUGAAGGCCUUCGGGUUGUAAAGCACUUUUGGCGGGAACGAAAAGGACUGUGCCAAUACCACGGUUCGAUGACGGUACCCGCAGAAUAAGCACCGGCUAACUACGUG